This 513-nucleotide ribosomal RNA is filed under the name uncultured bacterium. RNAcentral describes it as "partial 16S ribosomal RNA". It matches the Rfam family "Bacterial small subunit ribosomal RNA", at positions 28 to 523 of the family's 1533-position model. The record is from RNAcentral.
GAUGAACGCUGGCGGCGUGCCUAAUACAUGCAAGUCGAGCGAACAGACGAGGAGCUUGCUCCUCUGACGUUAGCGGCGGACGGGUGAGUAACACGUGGAUAACCUACCUAUAAGACUGGGAUAACUUCGGGAAACCGGAGCUAAUACCGGAUAAUAUAUUGAACCGCAUGGUUCAAUAGUGAAAGACGGUUUUGCUGUCACUUAUAGAUGGGUCCGCGCCGCAUUAGCUAGUUGGUAAGGUAACGGCUUACCAAGGCAACGAUGCGUAGCCGACCUGAGAGGGUGAUCGGCCACACUGGACCUGAGACACGGUCCAGACUCCUACGGGAGUCAGCAGUAGGGAAUCUUCCGCAAUGGGCGAAAGCCUGACGGAGCAACGCCGCGUGAGUGAUGAAGGUCUUCGGAUCGUAAAACUCUGUUAUUAGGGAAGAACAAAUGUGUAAGUAACUAUGCACGUCUUGACGGUACCUAAUCAGAAAGCCACGGCUAACUACGUGCCAGCAGCCGCCGUAA